ACGCUGGCGGCAGGCCUAACACAUGCAAGUCGAACGGUAACAGGAAGAAGCUUGCUUCUUUGCUGACGAGUGGCGGACGGGUGAGUAAUGUCUGGGAAACUGCCUGAUGGAGGGGGAUAACUACUGGAAACGGUAGCUAAUACCGCAUAACGUCGCAAGACCAAAGAGGGGGACCUUCGGGCCUCUUGCCAUCGGAUGCGCCCAGAUGGGAUUAGCUAGUAGGUGGGGUAAAGGCUCACCUAGGCGACGAUCCCUAGCUGGUCUGAGAGGAUGACCAGCCACACUGGAACUGAGACACGGUCCAGACUCCUACGGGAGGCAGCAGUGGGGAAUAUUGCACAAUGGGCGCAAGCCUGAUGCAGCCAUGCCGCGUGUAUGAAGAAGGCCUUCGGGUUGUAAAGUACUUUCAGCGGGGAGGAAGGGAGUAAAGUUAAUACCUUUGCUCAUUGACGUUACCCGCAGAAGAAGCACCGGCUAACUCCGUGCCAGCAGCCGCGGUAAUACGGAGGGUGCAAGCGUUAAUCGGAAUUACUGGGCGUAAAGCGCACGCAGGCGGUUUGUUAAGUCAGAUGUGAAAUCCCCGGGCUCAACCUGGGAACUGCAUCUGAUACUGGCAAGCUUGAGUCUCGUAGAGGGGGGUAGAAUUCCAGGUGUAGCGGUGAAAUGCGUAGAGAUCUGGAGGAAUACCGGUGGCGAAGGCGGCCCCCUGGACGAAGACUGACGCUCAGGUGCGAAAGCGUGGGGAGCAAACAGGAUUAGAUACCCUGGUAGUCCACGCCGUAAACGAUGUCGACUUGGAGGUUGUGCCCUUGAGGCGUGGCUUCCGGAGCUAACGCGUUAAGUCGACCGCCUGGGGAGUACGGCCGCAAGGUUAAAACUCAAAUGAAUUGACGGGGGCCCGCACAAGCGGUGGAGCAUGUGGUUUAAUUCGAUGCAACGCGAAGAACCUUACCUGGUCUUGACAUCCACAGAACUUUCCAGAGAUGGAUUGGUGCCUUCGGGAACUGUGAGACAGGUGCUGCAUGGCUGUCGUCAGCUCGUGUUGUGAAAUGUUGGGUUAAGUCCCGCAACGAGCGCAACCCUUAUCCUUUGUUGCCAGCGGUCCGGCCGGGAACUCAAAGGAGACUGCCAGUGAUAAACUGGAGGAAGGUGGGGAUGACGUCAAGUCAUCAUUGCCCUUACGACCAGGGCUACACACGUGCUACAAUGGCGCAUACAAAGAGAAGCGACCUCGCGAGAGCAAGCGGACCUCAUAAAGUGCGUCGUAGUCCGGAUUGGAGUCUGCAACUCGACUCCAUGAAGUCGGAAUCGCUAGUAAUCGUGGAUCAGAAUGCCACGGUGAAUACGUUCCCGGGCCUUGUACACACCGCCCGUCACACCAUGGGAGUGGGUUGCAAAAGAAGUAGGUAGCUUAACCUUCGGGAGGGCGCUUACCACUUUGUGAUUCAUGACUGGGGU
Molecule: ribosomal RNA, 1458 nt
Filed under: uncultured organism
Description: SSU rRNA
Rfam family: Bacterial small subunit ribosomal RNA
Source: RNAcentral